GACGAACCGUCCAAACGUUAUUCGGAUUUACUGGGCUUAAAGGGUGCGUAGGCGGCGCGGAAAGUCGGGUGUGAAAUCCCUCGGCUCAACCGAGGAACUGCGCCCAAAACUACCGUGCUCGAGGAAGAUAGAGGUGAGCGGAACUUAGGGUGGAGCGGUGAAAUGCGUUGAUAUCCUAAGGAACACCGGUGGCGAAAGCGGCUCACUGGAUCUUUUCUGACGCUGAGGCACGAAAGCUAGGGGAGCAAACGGG
RNAcentral lists this ribosomal RNA (253 nucleotides) under uncultured prokaryote. RNAcentral describes it as "partial 16S ribosomal RNA". It matches the Rfam family "Bacterial small subunit ribosomal RNA", at positions 524 to 776 of the family's 1533-position model. The record is from RNAcentral.